RNAcentral lists this ribosomal RNA (474 nucleotides) under Mycobacterium sp. RNAcentral's name for it is "bacterial SSU rRNA". It matches the Rfam family "Bacterial small subunit ribosomal RNA", at positions 28 to 505 of the family's 1533-position model. The record is from RNAcentral. Lineage: Bacteria; Bacillati; Actinomycetota; Actinomycetes; Mycobacteriales; Mycobacteriaceae.
GACGAACGCUGGCGGCGUGCUUAACACAUGCAAGUCGAACGGAAAGGCCUCUUCGGAGGUACUCGAGUGGCGAACGGGUGAGUAACACGUGGGCAAUCUGCCCUGCACUUCGGGAUAAGCCUGGGAAACUGGGUCUAAUACCGGAUAGGACCUUUAGACGCAUGUCUUUAGGUGGAAAGCUUUUGCGGUGUGGGAUGGGCCCGCGGCCUAUCAGCUUGUUGGUGGGGUGAUGGCCUACCAAGGCGACGACGGGUAGCCGGCCUGAGAGGGUGUCCGGCCACACUGGGACUGAGAUACGGCCCAGACUCCUACGGGAGGCAGCAGUGGGGAAUAUUGCACAAUGGGCGCAAGCCUGAUGCAGCGACGCCGCGUGGGGGAUGACGGCCUUCGGGUUGUAAACCUCUUUCACCAUCGACGAAGGUCCGGGUUCUCUCGGAUUGACGGUAGGUGGAGAAGAAGCACCGGCCAACUACG